Molecule: ribosomal RNA, 274 nt
Filed under: uncultured bacterium
Lineage: Bacteria
Description: partial 16S ribosomal RNA
Rfam family: Bacterial small subunit ribosomal RNA
Source: RNAcentral
AUACGGAGGGUGCAAGCGUUAAUCGGAAUUACUGGGCGUAAAGCGCGCGUAGGCGGCUUGUUAAGUCAGAUGUGAAAGCCCUGGGCUCAACCUGGGAACUGCAUUUGAUACUGGCAAGCUAGAGUAUGGUAGAGGAUAGUGGAAUUCCAGGUGUAGCGGUGAAAUGCGUAGAUAUCUGGAGGAACAUCAGUGGCGAAGGCGGCUGUCUGGACCAAUACUGACGCUGAGGUGCGAAAGCGUGGGGAGCAAACAGGAUUAGAUACCCUAGUAGUCC